Molecule: long non-coding RNA, 487 nt
Filed under: Homo sapiens (human)
Lineage: Eukaryota; Metazoa; Chordata; Mammalia; Primates; Hominidae
Description: non-protein coding lnc-SLMAP-4:1
Source: RNAcentral
AUGGUCAACCCCACCAUGGUCUUCGAUAUUGCUGUCAACGACAAGCCCUUGGGCCGUAUCUCCUUUGAGCUGUUUGCAGACAAGUUUCCAAAGACAACAGAGAACUUUCAUGCUCUGAGCACUGGAGAGAAAAGAUUUGGGUGUAAGGGUUCCUGCUUUCACAGAAUUAUUCCAGGGUUUGUAUGUCAGGGUGGUGACUUCACAUGCCACACUGGUGGCACAUCCAUCUACAGGGAGAAAUUUGAUUGCAAGAACUUCAUCCUGAAGCAUAUAGGUCCUGGCAUCCUGUCCAUGGCAAAUGCUGGACCCAACACAAGUGGUUCCCAGUUUUCAUGUGCCCUGCCAAGACUGAGUGGUUGGAUGGCAAGCAUGUGGCCUUUGGCAUGGUGAAGGCAUGAAUAUUGUGGAGGCCAUGGAGCGCUUUGGGUCCAGGAAUGGCAAGACCAGCAAGAAGAUCACCAUUGCUAACUGUGGACAGCUCUACUAA